Molecule: ribosomal RNA, 2923 nt
Filed under: Escherichia coli
Lineage: Bacteria; Pseudomonadati; Pseudomonadota; Gammaproteobacteria; Enterobacterales; Enterobacteriaceae
Description: 23S ribosomal RNA
Rfam family: Bacterial large subunit ribosomal RNA
Source: RNAcentral
GGGUUGUGAGGUUAAGCGACUAAGCGUACACGGUGGAUGCCCUGGCAGUCAGAGGCGAUGAAGGACGUGCUAAUCUGCGAUAAGCGUCGGUGAGGUGAUAUGAACCGUUAUAACCGGCGAUUUCCGAAUGGGGAAACCCAGUGUGUUUCGACACACUAUCAUUAACUGAAUCCAUAGGUUAAUGAGGCGAACCGGGGGAACUGAAACAUCUAAGUACCCCGAGGAAAAGAAAUCAACCGAGAUUCCCCCAGUAGCGGCGAGCGAACGGGGAGGAGCCCAGAGCCUGAAUCAGUGUGUGUGUUAGUGGAAGCGUCUGGAAAGGCGCGCGAUACAGGGUGACAGCCCCGUACACAAAAAUGCACAUGCUGUGAGCUCGAUGAGUAGGGCGGGACACGUGGUAUCCUGUCUGAAUAUGGGGGACCAUCCUCCAAGGCUAAAUACUCCUGACUGACCGAUAGUGAACCAGUACCGUGAGGGAAAGGCGAAAAGAACCCCGGCGAGGGGAGUGAAAAAGAACCUGAAACCGUGUACGUACAAGCAGUGGGAGCCUCUUAAUGGGGUGACUGCGUACCUUUUGUAUAAUGGGUCAGCGACUUAUAUUCUGUAGCAAGGUUAACCGAAUAGGGGAGCCGAAGGGAAACCGAGUCUUAACUGGGCGUUAAGUUGCAGGGUAUAGACCCGAAACCCGGUGAUCUAGCCAUGGGCAGGUUGAAGGUUGGGUAACACUAACUGGAGGACCGAACCGACUAAUGUUGAAAAAUUAGCGGAUGACUUGUGGCUGGGGGUGAAAGGCCAAUCAAACCGGGAGAUAGCUGGUUCUCCCCGAAAGCUAUUUAGGUAGCGCCUCGUGAAUUCAUCUCCGGGGGUAGAGCACUGUUUCGGCAAGGGGGUCAUCCCGACUUACCAACCCGAUGCAAACUGCGAAUACCGGAGAAUGUUAUCACGGGAGACACACGGCGGGUGCUAACGUCCGUCGUGAAGAGGGAAACAACCCAGACCGCCAGCUAAGGUCCCAAAGUCAUGGUUAAGUGGGAAACGAUGUGGGAAGGCCCAGACAGCCAGGAUGUUGGCUUAGAAGCAGCCAUCAUUUAAAGAAAGCGUAAUAGCUCACUGGUCGAGUCGGCCUGCGCGGAAGAUGUAACGGGGCUAAACCAUGCACCGAAGCUGCGGCAGCGACACUAUGUGUUGUUGGGUAGGGGAGCGUUCUGUAAGCCUGUGAAGGUGUGCUGUGAGGCAUGCUGGAGGUAUCAGAAGUGCGAAUGCUGACAUAAGUAACGAUAAAGCGGGUGAAAAGCCCGCUCGCCGGAAGACCAAGGGUUCCUGUCCAACGUUAAUCGGGGCAGGGUGAGUCGACCCCUAAGGCGAGGCCGAAAGGCGUAGUCGAUGGGAAACAGGUUAAUAUUCCUGUACUUGGUGUUACUGCGAAGGGGGGACGGAGAAGGCUAUGUUGGCCGGGCGACGGUUGUCCCGGUUUAAGCGUGUAGGCUGGUUUUCCGUGCAAAUCCGGAAAACCAAGGCUGAGGCGUGAUGACGAGGCACUACGGUGCUGAAGCGACAAAUGCCCUGCUUCCGGAAAAGCCUCUAAGCAUCAGGUAACAUCAAAUCGUACCCCAAACCGACACAGGUGGUCAGGUAGAGAAUACCAAGGCGCUUGAGAGAACUCGGGUGAAGGAACUAGGCAAAAUGGUGCCGUAACUUCGGGAGAAGGCACGCUGAUAUGUAGGUGAAGCGACUUGCUCGUGGAGCUGAAAUCAGUCGAAGAUACCAGCUGGCUGCAACUGUUUAUUAAAAACACAGCACUGUGCAAACACGAAAGUGGACGUAUACGGUGUGACGCCUGCCCGGUGCCGGAAGGUUAAUUGAUGGGGUUAGCGGUAACGCGAAGCUCUUGAUCGAAGCCCCGGUAAACGGCGGCCGUAACUAUAACGGUCCUAAGGUAGCGAAAUUCCUUGUCGGGUAAGUUCCGACCUGCACGAAUGGCGUAAUGAUGGCCAGGCUGUCUCCACCCGAGACUCAGUGAAAUUGAACUCGCUGUGAAGAUGCAGUGUACCCGCGGCAAGACGGAAAGACCCCGUGAACCUUUACUAUAGCUUGACACUGAACAUUGAGCCUUGAUGUGUAGGAUAGGUGGGAGGCUUUGAAGUGUGGACGCCAGUCUGCAUGGAGCCGACCUUGAAAUACCACCCUUUAAUGUUUGAUGUUCUAACGUUGGCCCGUAAUCCGGGUUGCGGACAGUGUCUGGUGGGUAGUUUGACUGGGGCGGUCUCCUCCUAAAGAGUAACGGAGGAGCACGAAGGUUGGCUAAUCCUGGUCGGACAUCAGGAGGUUAGUGCAAUGGCAUAAGCCAGCUUGACUGCGAGCGUGACGGCGCGAGCAGGUGCGAAAGCAGGUCAUAGUGAUCCGGUGGUUCUGAAUGGAAGGGCCAUCGCUCAACGGAUAAAAGGUACUCCGGGGAUAACAGGCUGAUACCGCCCAAGAGUUCAUAUCGACGGCGGUGUUUGGCACCUCGAUGUCGGCUCAUCACAUCCUGGGGCUGAAGUAGGUCCCAAGGGUAUGGCUGUUCGCCAUUUAAAGUGGUACGCGAGCUGGGUUUAGAACGUCGUGAGACAGUUCGGUCCCUAUCUGCCGUGGGCGCUGGAGAACUGAGGGGGGCUGCUCCUAGUACGAGAGGACCGGAGUGGACGCAUCACUGGUGUUCGGGUUGUCAUGCCAAUGGCACUGCCCGGUAGCUAAAUGCGGAAGAGAUAAGUGCUGAAAGCAUCUAAGCACGAAACUUGCCCCGAGAUGAGUUCUCCCUGAGACUUAGAGUCUCCUGAAGGAACGUUGAAGACGACGACGUUGAUAGGCCGGGUGUGUAAGCGCAGCGAUGCGUUGAGCUAACCGGUACUAAUGAACCGUGAGGCUUAACCUUACAACGCCGAAG